This is a long non-coding RNA of Dreissena polymorpha, 194 nucleotides long. RefSeq lists it as uncharacterized. The transcript is spliced from 3 exons. The record is from RefSeq and is a predicted model, not a curated record. NCBI's taxonomy places the organism in Eukaryota, Metazoa, Mollusca, Bivalvia, Myida, Dreissenidae.
CAGGUAGAGGAAUGUCUGCGACUAAGCCGAAGGCCAGUGGAUAAGGGUUGUUGAUGGCAAAACAGGUAGAGGAAUGUCUGCGACUAAGCCGAGGGCCACUGGAUAAGGGUUGUUGAUGGCAAAACAGGAAGAGGAAUGUCUGCGACUAAGCCGAGGGCCACUGGAUAAGGGUUGUUGAUGGCAAAACAGGUAAU